Molecule: non-coding RNA, 103 nt
Filed under: Vaucheria litorea
Lineage: Eukaryota; Xanthophyceae; Vaucheriales; Vaucheriaceae
Source: RNAcentral
UCAACGAUAUAAAUUUUCUUCGGAAAUCGGUCUUUUCUCGUUCGCAUUAGUCGGUGCAGUGAGAGUUAAAUUAGGACCGGCCCGAACACUAAAUUGGGCCCAA